This is a non-coding RNA of Schistosoma margrebowiei, 48 nucleotides long. NCBI's taxonomy places the organism in Eukaryota, Metazoa, Platyhelminthes, Trematoda, Strigeidida, Schistosomatidae. The record is from Rfam.
AUCUGGCUGAAGAGUUCGAAAUAGAACGAAACGCGCGUCGAACUGUAU